GAUUUGUGUCUCAAGAAGUAGACCCAUACUUUUCUGGAGUGAUCAUCGAUGAAAGUCACAAAAUAAGACUUUCCGCCAAUAGAUGGAACUGCAGCUGGCCCCCAGACAUCCGUGUGGACUAACUCUAGCUUUUCCUGCUUCGGAGUUCUGCCACACUUGUUGAAACUCACCCGCUUCUGCUUCCCGAAGAUGCAACUCUCACAUAGGUCUGCAUCAAUAGAUUGAAGUCCUGGUAGUUUCCCUUUAUCAUGCAUGUACUUGAGUCCUUUUUGACUCAUAUGCCCCAGUCUCUGGUGCCAUAGAUUCGGAUCGUCAUUCGAAUCAGCAAUUGUAAUUACUCCGCAAGCACUCGUCGUGGUGUAAAGAGUACCACUUUUCUUGCCUCGUGCUAUGAUCAUUGCAUCCCUGGAAACCUUCCAAAUAUCGCCGUUGAAGGUUGUGAUAUAACCCUCAUUUGAUAGUUGGCCCACAGAUAUCAAGUUCUUCCUCAAGUCUGGAAUGUGUCUGACAUCCUUCAAUUUCCAUACAGAUCCAUUAAGCUUGAUCUGUACUUCGCCUUUGCCGACUACGUCACAAGGUUGAUCAUCACCAAGAUAUACUUUUCCAAGAUUGCCCGGCUCAUAACUCGUAAAGAGUUCUCUGUUUGAGGUAGCAUGAAAAGAUGCUCCAGAAUCUAUCACCCAGUAUUCUGCUUUGCUUUCCAAAGAGCAUAUCAAAGCAUCAUCUGAUUCCUCCGCUACAACAUUGGCCUCGGUCUUGUUUUCAUUUUUGGAAACUUGACACUGAUUUUUGUAGUGUCCGGUCUUGCCGCAAUUCCAACAUUCAACAACUUUUGAUUUGUUGGAAUUCUUUGGAUUUCUGGAUUUUGAUCUACCAAAUCUUGACUUGCUCCUGUAAUGCCCUUUACCUCUGUUUGAACUUCUGCCUCUGCUCUCCACGUUCAAAGCAGCUCCAGAAGUGGAAACACCUUCUGAUUGUCUUCGUAUUUCCUCGGUCAGGAUCAUACUCACAACAUCUUCAAAUUUCAAUUUGGACUUUCCGGCAGAGCUACUAAUUGCUGUAACUGUGCCAUUCCAACUCUCAGGCAGCUGCCCGAGAAUCAAC
This 1104-nucleotide long non-coding RNA is filed under the name Olea europaea subsp. europaea. Lineage: Eukaryota; Viridiplantae; Streptophyta; Magnoliopsida; Lamiales; Oleaceae. The record is from RNAcentral.